UGGACUCCUGACCUCCGGUGAUCCGCUUGCCUUGCCCUUCCAAAGUGUUGGGAUUACAGGCAUGAGCCACUGGGCCCAGCCAAUUAAAAAGCACUAUUUUUAACCAAGGAACUUUACUUGCUUUGUUUUCAUUUUUGCAGACAGAUGCAGUAUUAAAGUUGAAUGCAUUUGAAUGCCAUUACUGUCCAUAGUUCAACAUUUGACCUCUUUGGCAACUAAACAGUAUUUUAUGUAUAUUAUGUUGUUUUACAUUUUCUAGAGGAGUAUAGCGGGAUGGGGCCUGUUUUUGGUCCUCAUGUCUUGGAGAGCUUUCCUCUUCAUGCUGGUGGGCCACACUUGGCUGGAGAUUCUUUUCUGUUCUUUGAAUCCGGACUACAAUAGGACAAAUUAACUCCAGUGGUCAUACAAGUCAUGAAGAAAUGAAUUUAAUAGUGUAUCAGUUAGGAUUCUGUUAUGACAUGUGCCCAAAUCAUCUGGAAAUAGUUUAAGCCAAAGAGAAGAAUUUCAUUAAAAGAUUCAGGGACAUAUGAGAUCUAAAGCCAGGAAUACAACUGUGACUGAGGAAGAGACUUUAAGUAGGAACGGGAAAAUCAGCAAGAAGCCAGGCAUCCCCUCGGUGUGCUUGCUGCGACGUGCACUCUGUGCAGAGUGGCUGUCCCUGCUUCCAGUCCACCCAGAAGGCAAUAAAGGGCCAGCCUGAGACCCUCAGAUUGUAAUCCCCUUCAUUCAAGAGAACAGCCAAGGCUGUCUGUGGUGGCUCAUGGCUCAUCCCAGCACUUUGGGAGGCUGAGGUGGAAGGAUCAUUUGAGUCCAGGAAUGUGAGACCAGCCUGGGCAACACAGUGAGACCCCACCUCUACAAAAAAUACAAAAAAAUUAGCUAAGCAUGGUGGCACAUGCCUGUAGUUCCAGCUACUCAAGAGGCUGAGGUAGGAGGAUUGCUUGAGCCUGGGAAGUCAGAGGCUGCAGUGAGCAGUGAUUGUGCCAGUGCACUCCAGCCUGGGUGACGGAGCAAGACCAUCUAAAAAAAAAAAAGAUAGAUCAGGAGACUGGCCAAGACUCAGUGAGGAUCUGUUUGUCUCAUUUCCAAAUGUGUCCUGGAGAACCAACGUUAGUGCAGUCAACAGUGGUCAGUGUGGAGUCGCAAAACACAAACUCCAGCUUUUGGAAGCCUGGCCUGUAGGAGGGGUCCACUUCCUCCAAAGGCACCUGCUUCAAAUAUCCCCCCUGCUAAACCAGAAUCAUUGCUGUUAGGAUGACCUUUCUAUUUCAGAAGGAACUAGAGGACUCUGCAGAGAUGGUGGCGGAGGCGAGAUCUAUGUCUGGAGGGGCCAUGUAUAAAAAACAUGGACCUGCCGUGUUUCUGGUCCUUACCACUUCUGAGUUGUCCGAUUUUACAGAAGAGGACUUGAAAGACGUAAGACAUGGCCAAGAAUUCAUCAUCUGCCUCUGCUCCAAAACCACAUUCUACUAAAAAAAGGUUUUGACGGUGAGGAUCAAGAGCCAGCCCAUGAACCCCUGAUUCGGCCCGUGAAGCUUGUACUCUGGCAGAACGUCCAGCCUGGCAUCUGAGGCAGCACUUAUCUGGAGCCUCUUGUAUGAGGAGGAUCUCAAAAGAACCAGGGGGGAGCCCUGGGAGAGGAAACUGGGGCCAGCCGUGUACACAGACAUGGAUUCGAGACGGUGUCGGGCCAGCCUGAGAAAUAGCAGGAAACCUGGCAUGGCGUAGGGUGGGGCUCUAGGUGCCUGAUGAAAGUGAGAUGGAGGGAGUGCAUCGUGGUGACUGCAGAGUCCUCAAAGCCACUGUUAACCUCACCUCCACCUCCUGUCAGCUUGUGACCUUGGUAGCACAGAGAAAUGGAUGUUUCUUGACAACCCAGUCUAGUCAUAUGGCAAAAUAAACGAAAAAACAGAACCCAUGUCCAAUUCUGGAGGCUGGGAAGUCCAUCAUUAAGUGCUGGCAGAUUCAGUGUCUGGUGAGGGCUGCUUCCUGGUUCAUAGACGUGCCUUCUUGCUGAGAUCUCAGAUGGUGGGCGGGGCUUGGCAGCUCUGGAGCCUCUUAUAAGGGCACUAAUCCUAUUCAUAAAGGCAUCAUCCUCAUGACCUGAUCACCUCUCAAAAAUCCCACCUCCUAACACUAUCACCUCUGGGGUUAUGGAUUUUGUUGGAGACAGAAACAUUCAGACCAUAGUGGUACUCGAUAAAAUGUUUAUUAAUAUGUAUUAAUUCUGGGAGUCAAGCAAACCCAAUGAAUUGAUCACUGGGAUUUUGACACCACAAUCAGAUAAACAAUUUAAAAAUA
Chlorocebus sabaeus (green monkey) is the source of this 2301-nucleotide non-coding RNA. Lineage: Eukaryota; Metazoa; Chordata; Mammalia; Primates; Cercopithecidae. The record is from RefSeq and is a predicted model, not a curated record.